AAGCAUAUCAUCUUUAUGGGAUCCUUCAUUUCGUUGCGGUUUUCUCGCCGAGAUUCUGGGAAUAUGUUCAACCACGAUGAGGACUGUUAGUGAAAUCCUCUGGGGGGGGAAGGGGCUCUCAAGGUUGUGUUUGAGAGUUGAGGACCGUUUUUACUCGUUUACCGUGUUGAGAGAAGGAUCACACAAGCUGAGGGGU
Molecule: small nucleolar RNA, 196 nt
Organism: Penaeus monodon (black tiger shrimp)
Lineage: Eukaryota; Metazoa; Arthropoda; Malacostraca; Decapoda; Penaeidae
Product: small nucleolar RNA U3
Exons: 1
Source: RefSeq, a predicted model, not a curated record